GAUGAACGCUGGCGGCGUGCCUAACACAUGCAAGUCGAACGAACAGACGAGGAGCUCUCGCCUUUGACGUUGGCGACGGGCGGGUGAGUAACGAGUAGAUAGCCUUCCACUCUGACUUGGGUAACUUCGGGAGGCCGGAGAUACUAAUGGAUAAUACAACCAACCGGAGGGUGCAGUAGUGAUUGAGGGUUUUGGUGUCGCUUAUAGACGGAUCCGCGUCGCAUUAGCUAGUUGGUAAGGUAACGCCUUACCAAGGAGCCGAUGCGUGGCCGAGCUGAGAGGGUGGUCGGCCACACUGGAACUGGGACACGGUCCAGACUCCUACGGGAGGCAGCAGUAGGGAAUCUUCCGCAAUGGGCGAAAGCCUGACGCAGCAACGCCGCGUGAGUGAUGAAGGCCUUCGGAUCGUAAAGCUCUGUUACUGGGGAAGAACAACUGUGUGUUGAAAUAUGCCCGUCUUGACGGUACCUAAAGAAAAAGCCCCGGCUAACUACGUG
RNAcentral lists this ribosomal RNA (497 nucleotides) under uncultured bacterium. Its description in RNAcentral is "partial 16S ribosomal RNA". It matches the Rfam family "Bacterial small subunit ribosomal RNA", at positions 28 to 507 of the family's 1533-position model. The record is from RNAcentral.